Molecule: non-coding RNA, 210 nt
Organism: Pelobates cultripes (western spadefoot toad)
Lineage: Eukaryota; Metazoa; Chordata; Amphibia; Anura; Pelobatidae
Source: the annotation of a GenBank genome assembly
UAAUUCCUAUUAUACUUAACAGAACCCCCACAUUCAACCUAUCCCCAGAUAGCUUGGGUCUGAGCGCUCAUUAUAUCCGAACAGCGCUCAGAUGCCACAAACACAGUCAAAUCGCCAUGGGGUUAAACCAUAGCAACAAGUUCCAACUGGUCUGGCAGUGUCCCUGGGACAGGAAACGGGGGAGGGGCACACCUUCUCAUGUAUUCAAAG